Beta vulgaris subsp. vulgaris (sugar beet) is the source of this 350-nucleotide long non-coding RNA. RefSeq lists it as uncharacterized. Lineage: Eukaryota; Viridiplantae; Streptophyta; Magnoliopsida; Caryophyllales; Amaranthaceae. The record is from RefSeq and is a predicted model, not a curated record. The transcript has 3 exons.
CAAGGUGUUUUUCAUACUGGGUAGACGUUAGUUUUGAGGUUUCAACAUUGUAAGCCAAAGAAAAACUAAGGAAGGUCUUAAGGAGUUGCUGGAGGAGUAGUACGAGUUGCUAAGCAAGGGUUAAAUUCCUAAACACCAAAUUAAGUUGUUUUGCAGGAAUAAGCUGAAGGUCAAAGAUAAACUUUAUUUGAAAGUUCGUGAUAUAUGUUUUGCUGCUGCGUGAUGUUAUUGUAUAAAUUAAUUAUGGGAUGUAACUUAUAUUUUUGGAUUCAACUUUUAAUUACUUAGACUACGAUGUAAUAAUUAAGUAUUUUAAGUGGAUUUUCAUAAACUAUGCUCAGAUUUAUGCA